AGCCUGGGGACCCUGGUUCAGCACAGUAGCAUUCCUCCUUUCUGUUUGCUUGAUGCCCAAGCCAGUCAGCUUCCUGGAAACCCUGCCCUUGGGCACUGUCACUAGUUCCCAUAGGAACCUCAAGGAGCUAAACUGUGUUCUGACCGUCCAUUCUCCUCUCUGGGCCAUUGUGGAGCCCACUGGUCUGUCAGCCCUCUAGUCAACAGCUGAGGCGGCCAUCUAUCCCUUAGCAGGUCUGGCAAGAGCCAGUCGAGACUCUUGAAGAGUAGAUGAUGUCCAUGGUGGCAGUGGCAGUAACCAUGUAGGCAAAUACCUGUGUCCAUAUGGGCUCCAGGCAGGGGCUACUCAGGGCAGACAGUGCUCUCCUGGAGCUGUCCUUACGUGGCUGCUCCUGGGAACUGCAGCCACAGAGGAAUUUCUCCCAAGGGGGGCACAAGGAGAACAUGUAGAUAGGUAAUAAUGCAGCCACACAGGCCAUCACCAGAUGUGUGGGCUCUGCUGACAGGGAAGCUACACCCGCGAUAGGAGGGAGGACACGGGAAAGAUUGGGCUGUUUGGGGCUAUUUGGAUCCCAAAGUUGUGAGUCCCCUUUCAUAGUUCCUACUGGAUUUCAACCCUAUUUAAUGCAGUGAGUUUGUUAAGCCUACAAAAUGCUUGUCCUUCACAGGCAUUAAUAUUAUUCUAAAUUCAUGCAAAAGUGUGAGUUAACCGUGGUCUCUGUCUGUGCUAGUCCUCAUUCUAGGAUUAUAAUAACUCACUUGAGUAAUAUCAGUAUCAUCAUCAUCCCCAAUUUAUAGGUGAGGAAACUGAGGCAUAGAGCGAGUAUUCAAAGUGUGUGGCAGAGCUGGGAUGUGAAUCUAGGUAACUUGGCAACAGAGCCCAUAUGCUGAACUGCCCCAACUUGUCACUUGUCAUCUGGCCUGAAAGAUUAGCUUAAGCUAAUCACGUGUGGUGUUCUAAUCCCUGACUCUGCCAAUAACAGAGGUAUUGAAUAAAUGAAAAUCUCAGACAGUAUUAUAAGCAAAGAAAAACUUGGCUGCAAUAUCUGUCAGGCCAGCAGAAGGUAAGAGGUGAUUCAGUACCAGGAGUGUGUUAGUUAUGUAAAUAGAAAUGAUCUACUUCCUGGGUCUACCUAUCAUCUAAUGACCAUCCGUGUCAUGAGAAUGUCACUGGAGGAAACUUUAGGGGCUCCUUUGUCAAAUCCUAGCUCAGAAAUGUGACAACUACAUCAACAAAAGGCCACAAUUUCCCCAAUUCAGGAAAUAAUCUGGAGUCAUCAGUACAAAUUACUUGAACAGACUGGGCUUUGGCUGUCUCUCUGUGGCUGAUAUAACAAUUCCCGUCUUGGCUACUCUGCUAAUAAUUACCUUUCCUCCUUCUCUGAAAAGAGAGGAAGCCUCAAGUCUCUCCAACACCCUGCCUCCUAUGUUCUGCACCCUCUCCCCACAGGGAUCAGUGCUAACAGAGCUGGCUGGAGGCACAGUCUCUCACUCAACCUGCAGGUUGCUCCUUCCUCUGUCACUUCACACACCUGGGUGAGGCAUCCCUAUGUGUCAGGCUCUGUGCUGGGUACUGGGGCACAGGAAGGGGGACGACAUCUUCAGCCCCAAGGAGCUCACAGUAUGGGGGUUUGGGGAUGAGAGCUGGGAGGCAAACAGACUCUGUUCAGUGGCACAACUCAAAUGUCAGUGCUCCUUACCUGGGGCCAUCCUGGAAACCUUCUCACUCAUGUGUGCUAGUGACCUGUCAGGGUUUUAUGAAUGAAAUCACCAGUCUGGAAAAUUGCUCAGUUUCAUGCACAUCGAGCUCAUUGUCCCCCUACACCUGACAUCAACCCUCAGAUCAGCAAGUGAGCUCUUUUCCUGUGACAUGACACCUUCUUAGAUUUCUGAUUAUCUUCUCCACAGACUGUGAACCCCACAGGGCAGGGACACAUAGAGUGACAUCUGUGUUCCCAGUUAGGCUCAGGGCCAGGCAGAGGGGUUGGGGUUGAGUGACUGGGGCGAGGAGGCAUCUAGAAGCCUUUUCUGUGAGAACAGCUGAGGCUGCUCAGCCUUGAGAGGGAGGAGAUUCAGGAAGGAACAGUCAUUGUCCUAAAGUGCAGGGCUGUCAGAUCAGCCUGCAAAUCUACCUAAGGAAGGUGUGUCUGGCAGACCAGAGAACACCGGCACAGGCUUCCUGUGAAGGAGUGAGCUUCCCGGACUGGGAUGAGGAGCAGAGACCUGAGAGCAUGGAACACAUGACUGUGCCUACUGAUGGUGCCAAGAAAUCCUUACUGAUAUGAUGACUGAAGGAAGGAGGGAAUGAGGAAGACUUUGGACUGGUUAGAUCACCAUCUUCAACACAGCCGGGUCAGUUUUGGUGCCACAUUUUAAAAGGAAAUUAAUGUUCUUAUUCCUGGAUGGUUCCUCAUUCUGUUUAUAGGCAACAGAAAGGCAAAGGAGGGGGACAGUCAAUCUCGAAGGCAGCGGCGUGAAGCAAUUACUCCUGUGGAAAUCGUCAGAGAUCCACAGCAGCCAAACAACGGAGGACGGAGAGGCUGAAGCCCCCCUCAUUGGAGCUGGAAUGGGGGCUGAAGACUUCAUCGUCAAGACCUCUCAAGAUUGGAGAGAGAGAACUGUGGACCCUUUCCUUCAGCUCUUGCCAGUGUUCUUAGGGAGACUCUGGUUCCUGGAGUGUUGAAUAAAUAUGCAUUCUGAUUUCAUCAAAUGUCACUGAUGUCCCUACUUUAAGCAUCCUCAAGUGCCAGAAGAAGUAGGCUUAUAACAUCUUAGAUUAUUUUGUUCAUUUCUGGGCAUCAGGCUUUAAGGGGGAUGUUGUCAAACUCAUUUGAGUUCAGAAGAGACAAAUCAGAAAAGUGUUGGAUAUGAGGAUGAUGAUAUGUGAGGAAAGCAGCAAGAACUAGAGGUCUGGAUUCCCAUUCAAGAGGGAUAAGAUGGGGCUGCUUGAAACACUAGCCAGAAACUUGGCCAGAAGUUCAGUGUUGAAUGGUCAACGAGACCUGAGAGAACGUGUAGUUCAGGCCUCCUUCUUGAGGAGAAAAAGAGAGUCAGGAUUUGGAGAAAUAAUUCAAAAUGUAAAUAUUAAGUCCAAAUACCAGAAGUAGAAUUGUAAAAUGAGAGAUAAAACAGAGAGGCAAGAGCCUAAAUUGGUCCCAGAUUGGAGUAGGAACAGAAGAAUAGUUCCAAGAUGAUUGCCAUGGACACCAUCUAGUCUCCACAUCUUGACUCUGUGGUGGUGGCUAUUAGUGCAAGACCACAUCUGACUUGCUAAAACUAUAGAGCUGAAACACUGAGGACUUGGAAAGUCUUGAUGACUGUCUCUAACUACUUAAAGAGUUGCCAGGGCUCCAGAGUUCUGGGUCUGCUACUCAUAACUGAGAGACCUUGAGUGUGCCACCUGAUCUCACUGAACUUCCCUUUCCUCAUCUGGAAAUGGAGCAUAAUAAUAAUAAAUAUACACAUUACAAAGGGGUGGUACAGACCCAAUUAUGUAACAGUGGUACAUGGACUCUGAAAAUUAUAAAUUGUUGAAGAAGUUUUGAGUUGUACCAAUGGUUGAAAGUUAUAAGAAGGAAGAUUUUGAUUCAGUAUUCUGAAACUUUUGUCAGUGAUAACUGCCUACAGAUGGAAUGCCUGAACUAAUGGGCAUCUCUGUUGCUAGCCGCAGCCAUUUGCUAAAGUUCUUAAGGAUAUUAAGGUAGAGGAAGGGAUUUAAACUGGGUCCAGGCAUGGGCUCAUAGAGUCCACUCAUGCCGUGAAAUCACAGACAAACUCCGUCGGUGCUUGGAGUACCUGAGUAUUUCUGGAGAUCCACAAUUUUCUUUAGAUUUGUAAAAAGGUCAAUGAUUCACAAAAGGUAAAGAAUAAAAACAUGAUAACUUCAUGUAACUAAAACUCUGUUUGGUGUAUUAUCCUUUACAAAAAAAACUUUAGGAUUAGUGCUUAAGAAAAUGAUCACCAUUUUUUGCUUCUGUGCUAUCUCUGAGUUCAGGGGACAAAAAGAGAGAGUCAUAGUAUUUUCUCCAGGCCUAUGUGACUCCUUCAAGAUGCUUGCCCACCCCAUCCAUUCCUGGCUUAGGACUGAAUAUUUAUAAAUUUACCUCGAUGGCCUGCUUUAUGAUGGCUCUUGAUUACUAAACUCUAAGUGCUAUGACACCCUUCAUGCUCAGCACUAUCCCUGAUACUGUUUCUAUUUUAAAGGACCUGUCCCAGACGAUGCUUAAAUGAUAGGCCGUUUGUGGCAGAGAUGAUUCAGUGUCUAAUCAACAUUCUUUCUGGACUCCUACAGAAAUAGAACUCUUAGCUGAGCACACGGUUGCUAGCUAAAGACCACCUCUCCUGGUCUCCCUCUUAGCUACAGGAGGGACUAGGCUUUGUAAGUAGUUUUUUUGUAAGAGCUGUGAGCAGAAGUGAUGUGUACAACUUGCAGCUAACAUCUCAAAAGCAAAGGGGCGUGCCUUCCCACUCCCUUUUAUU
Molecule: non-coding RNA, 4478 nt
Organism: Equus caballus (horse)
Lineage: Eukaryota; Metazoa; Chordata; Mammalia; Perissodactyla; Equidae
Source: RefSeq, a predicted model, not a curated record